Molecule: long non-coding RNA, 538 nt
Organism: Lathyrus oleraceus (garden pea)
Lineage: Eukaryota; Viridiplantae; Streptophyta; Magnoliopsida; Fabales; Fabaceae
Exons: 2
Source: RefSeq, a predicted model, not a curated record
AAGAGCGAACGCGACUGAAUUUUCAAAAGAUGAGAUCGAGAUCCUCUUGUGCUUUCCUCCUCCUUUCCGUUAUGCUUCUGUUGAGGAACAGAUUGAAUUUUCUUGUGGUGGUUCGGCGAUGGAAGGUUGGAAGCGGUUGAAGGUGGUUCGGUGAACGGAGAUUGGUUACGGUUAUGGUUGGUUGCGGUUAUGAUGAAGAGAAUGAAUCAACGAAGAAUCCAGAGUAAUUUCCGCGAGAUCUCGAACGAAUCUGUAUCCGAUCCGAAGUCCGGCCAAAUCGUUGCGUGUAGAUAAAAAUGGUGAGUGAAGAUUGGUGAGGUUCGAAUGGUUCAGAGUUGAGAGAAGGUCUUGGUGAAGGUUUGAUGAAGUUUGGUUCAAGAAGAAGAUUCGGUUAGGCGUUGUGGUGGAGGGUUAUGGAGUUUGGAGUUUGGUGAAGGUGAUUGUGAAUUGAAAAAAUGGUUACGGUUACGGUGGUUGAAGGUUUUGGUUGAAGAAUUGGAAGAGAGUUUUUGACGGUGGUUGAUGAAUGGAGGUUGAA